Molecule: ribosomal RNA, 442 nt
Filed under: uncultured Erythrobacter sp.
Lineage: Bacteria; Pseudomonadati; Pseudomonadota; Alphaproteobacteria; Sphingomonadales; Erythrobacteraceae
Description: bacterial SSU rRNA
Rfam family: Bacterial small subunit ribosomal RNA
Source: RNAcentral
UCCUACGGGGGGCAGCAGUGGGGAAUAUUGGACAAUGGGCGAAAGCCUGAUCCAGCAAUGCCGCGUGAGUGAUGAAGGCCCUAGGGUUGUAAAGCUCUUUUACCCGGGAUGAUAAUGACAGUACCGGGAGAAUAAGCUCCGGCUAACUCCGUGCCAGCAGCCGCGGUAAUACGGAGGGAGCUAGCGUUGUUCGGAAUUACUGGGCGUAAAGCGCACGUAGGCGGCUAUUCAAGUCAGGGGUGAAAUCCCGGGGCUCCACCUCGGAACUGCCCUUGAAACUGGAUGGCUAGAGUCCGGGAGAGGCGAGUGAAAUUCCGAGUGUAGAGGUGAAAUUCGUAGAUAUUCGGAAGAACACCAGUGGCGAAGGCGACUCGCUGGACAGGUAUUGACGCUGAGGUGCGAAAGCGUGGGGAGCAAACAGGAUUAGAUACCCUAGUAGUCC